GGGAUUGUAGUUCAAUUGGUUAGAGCACCACUUUCUUAAGGUGGAAGCUGCGGGUUCGAGUCCCGCCAGUCCCG
This 74-nucleotide transfer RNA is filed under the name Rhododendron simsii. It matches the Rfam family "tRNA". Rfam says of the family: Transfer RNA (tRNA) molecules are approximately 80 nucleotides in length. Their secondary structure includes four short double-helical elements and three loops (D, anti-codon, and T loops). Further hydrogen bonds mediate the characteristic L-shaped molecular structure. tRNAs have two regions of fundamental functional importance: the anti-codon, which is responsible for specific mRNA codon recognition, and the 3' end, to which the tRNAs corresponding amino acid is attached (by aminoacyl-tRNA synthetases). tRNAs cope with the degeneracy of the genetic code in two manners: having more than one tRNA (with a specific anti-codon) for a particular amino acid; and 'wobble' base-pairing, i.e. permitting non-standard base-pairing at the 3rd anti-codon position. Lineage: Eukaryota; Viridiplantae; Streptophyta; Magnoliopsida; Ericales; Ericaceae. The record is from Rfam by way of RNAcentral. RNAcentral also lists the same sequence under 1 other name.